This 67-nucleotide transfer RNA is filed under the name Sphaerodactylus elegans. Its description in RNAcentral is "tRNA-Lys". The record is from RNAcentral. Lineage: Eukaryota; Metazoa; Chordata; Lepidosauria; Squamata; Sphaerodactylidae.
CUCUAAGAAGCUUCUACAGCGCUAGCCUUUUAAGCUGGAGAAGGGGGACACCCGCCCCCCUCAGAGA